GGCUCCUUGUCGUUUUUAUAUAAGGAGUCGGACCUGCCCAGUGAAAUUUUAACGGCCGCGGUACUCUGACCGUGCAAAGGUAGCAUAAUCACUUGCCUUAUAAUUGAAGGCUAGUAUGAAUGGUUUGACGAAAGCGCUUCUGUCUCUCCCUUACUCUAUAGAACUUAACUUUCAGGUGAAGAGGCCUGAUUAAAAUUGAAGGACGAGAAGACCCUGUCGAGCUUGAAGAUACUAAAGACAGCCUCUAUGUUCUACAGAUAUCAAGCUUUAUUUCUCUUUUGGUUGGGGCGACUAGGGAACAAUUAAAGCUUCCCCUGUUAAUAAGACCUUUUUGUUAGGAUCCAAUAUUAUUGAUUAAAAGAAUUAGUUACCGCAGGGAUAACAGCAUAAUCCCUCCUGAGAGACCUUAUCGAAGGAGGGGGUUGUGACCUCGAUGUUGGACUAGGAUAUCCUGAAGACGCAGAAGUUUUCGAGGGCUGGUCUGUUCGACCAUUAAAAUCCUACG
RNAcentral lists this ribosomal RNA (505 nucleotides) under Cerithium rostratum. RNAcentral describes it as "partial 16S ribosomal RNA". It matches the Rfam family "Bacterial large subunit ribosomal RNA", at positions 1817 to 2600 of the family's 2925-position model. The record is from RNAcentral. Lineage: Eukaryota; Metazoa; Mollusca; Gastropoda; Cerithiidae.